RNAcentral lists this ribosomal RNA (259 nucleotides) under uncultured bacterium. Its description in RNAcentral is "partial 16S ribosomal RNA". It matches the Rfam family "Bacterial small subunit ribosomal RNA", at positions 524 to 780 of the family's 1533-position model. The record is from RNAcentral.
UACGUAGGGUGCAAGCGUUAAUCGGAAUUACUGGGCGUAAAGCGUGCGCAGGCGGUUUUGUAAGUCUGUCGUGAAAUCCCCGGGCUCAACCUGGGAAUUCGCGAUGGAGACUGCAAGGCUAGAAUCUGGCAGAGGGGGGUAGAAUUCCACGUGUGAGCAGUGAAAUGCGUAGAGAUGUGGAGGAAUACCGAUGGCGAAGGCAGCCCCCUGGGAUAGCACUGACGCUCCAUGCACGAAAGCGUGGGGAGCAACAGGAUAG